CUCGGGUGGAUUUCACUCGGGCAGAACUGAGGUAGCCUUCAGAAAGUGGCCUUAAAAUUUUGUGGGCCUUCCCUUCAGAGAAACAACUUCCAGCCUAAAGGACCAAAUCAGACCGGAAAAACAAAUAAACAAAAAAAGCCCUUGAGCUUCCGGCGGCAGUGGCGUAACCAGGACUCACCACCCUCCCGCCCGCUUGCGGCCUUCUAACUGCGCUGGAGACCGUGUCCUGGACCUUGACCGAGACAGCAACCUCACCACCUCCAAGCUACAUUUCCAAUCCCAAAUAAAACUUGCCACAGCUUUA
Molecule: long non-coding RNA, 304 nt
Organism: Psammomys obesus (fat sand rat)
Lineage: Eukaryota; Metazoa; Chordata; Mammalia; Rodentia; Muridae
Exons: 2
Source: RefSeq, a predicted model, not a curated record